CAGUAGCCGCGGUAAUACGAAGGGGGCUAGCGUUGUUCGGAUUUACUGGGCGUAAAGGGCGCGUAGGCGGACUGAUAAGUCAGGGGUGAAAUCCCAAGGCUCAACCUUGGAACUGCCUUUGAUACUGUUUGUCUUGAGUUCGAGAGAGGUAAGUGGAACUGCGAGUGUAGAGGCGAAAUUCGUAGAUAUUCGCAAGAACACCAGUGGCGAAGGCGGCUUACUGGCUCGAAACUGACGCUGAGGCGCGAAAGCGUGGGGAGCAAACAGGAUUAGAUACCCCGGUAGUCCCUGUCUCUUAUAC
This 301-nucleotide ribosomal RNA is filed under the name uncultured bacterium. Its description in RNAcentral is "partial 16S ribosomal RNA". It matches the Rfam family "Bacterial small subunit ribosomal RNA", at positions 509 to 807 of the family's 1533-position model. The record is from RNAcentral.